AGUCAAGUAAUUAAGUGCAUGUGGUGGAUGCCUUGGCAGUCAGAGGCGAUGAAAGACGUAAUAGCCUGCGAUAAGCUUCGGGGAGGCGGCAAAUAUCCUAUGAUCCGGAGAUUUCUGAAUGGGGAAACCCACCUGUUAUAAGACAGGUAUCGUAUGAUGAAUACAUAGUCAUACGAGGCGAACGAGGGGAAGUGAAACAUCUCAGUACCCUUAGGAAAAGAAAUCAAUUGAGAUUCCCUCAGUAGCGGCGAGCGAACGGGGAUCAGCCCAUUAAGUUAUGUGUGUUUUAGUGGAAUGCUCUGGGAAGUGCAACCAUAGUGGGUGAUAGUCCUGUACACGAAAGGGCACACAUAAUGAUGACGAGUAGGGCGAGGCACGUGAAACCUUGUCUGAAUAUGGGGGGACCAUCCUCCAAGGCUAAAUACUCCUGACUGACCGAUAGUGAACCAGUACCGUGAGGGAAAGGCGAAAAGAACCCCUGUGAGGGGAGUGAAAUAGAUCCUGAAACCGCAUGCAUACAAGCAGUGGGAGCCACUUCGUGUGGUGACUGCGUACCUUUUGUAUAAUGGGUCAGCGACUUAUAUUCAGUGGCGAGGUUAACCGAAUAGGGGAGCCGUAGAGAAAUCGAGUCUUAAUAGGGCGUCUAGUCGCUGGGUAUAGACCCGAAACCGGGUGAUCUAUCCAUGAGCAGGUUGAAGGUUGGGUAACACUAACUGGAGGACCGAACCCACCGUCGUUGAAAAGCCGGGGGAUGACUUGUGGAUAGGGGUGAAAGGCUAAUCAAACUCGGUGAUAGCUGGUUCUCCCCGAAAGCUAUUUAGGUAGCGCCUCGGACGAAUACCAUUGGGGGUAGAGCACUGUUUCGGCUAGGGGGUCAUCCCGACUUACCAAACCGAUGCAAACUCCGAAUACCAAUGAGUACUAUCCGGGAGACAGACUGCGGGUGCUAACGUCCGUAGUCAAGAGGAAAACAAUCCAGACCGCCAGCUAAGGCCCCAAAAUCAUAGUUAAGUGGGAAACGAUGUGGGAAGGCAUAGACAGCUAGGAGGUUGGCUUAGAAGCAGCCACCCUUUAAAGAAAGCGUAAUAGCUCACUAGUCGAGUCGGCCUGCGCGGAAGAUGUAACGGGGCUAAAACUAUGUGCCGAAGCUGCGGAUGUAUACAUNNNNNNNNNNNNNNNNNNNNNNNNNNNNNNNNNNNNNNNNNNNNNNNNNNNNNNNNNNNNNNNNNNNNNNNNNNNNNNNNNNNNNNNNNNNNNNNUACAUUGUAUACGUGGUAGGGGAGCGUUCUGUAAGCCGAUGAAGGUGGAUUGAGAAGUCUGCUGGAGGUAUCAGAAGUGCGAAUGCUGACGUGAGUAACGACAAAACGGGUGAAAAACCCGUUCGCUGAAAGACCAAGGGUUCCAGUCCAACGUUAAUCGGGGCUGGGUGAGUCGACCCCUAAGGCGAGGCCGAAAGGCGUAGUCGAUGGGAAAUUGGUUAAUAUUCCAAUACUUCUGUGUAAUGCGAUGAGAGGACGGAGAAGGUUAAGUCAGCCUGGCGUUGGUUGUCCAGGUGAAAGACAGUAGGCAUGCAUCUUAGGCAAAUCCGGGGUGCUCUAUGCUGAGAGUCGAUAGCAAGCUAGUUUACUAGCGAAGUGGCUGAUACCCUGCUUCCAGGAAAAGUCUCUAAGCUUCAGUUACACAGGAAUCGUACCCGAAACCGACACAGGUGGUCAGGUCGAGUAGACCAAAGCGCUUGAGAGAACUCUGCUGAAGGAACUAGGCAAAAUGGUACCGUAACUUCGGGAGAAGGUACGCUGCUGACGGUGAUUCCCCUUGCGGGAUGAGCGGUUGGCAGCCUCAGAAACCAGGCCGCUGCAACUGUUUAUUAAAAACAUAGCACUCUGCAAACACGAAAGUGGACGUAUAGGGUGUGAUGCCUGCCCGGUGCUGGAAGGUUAAUUGAUGGGGUUAGCGUAAGCGAAGCUCUUGAUCGAAGCCCCAGUAAACGGCGGCCGUAACUAUAACGGUCCUAAGGUAGCGAAAUUCCUUGUCGGGUAAGUUCCGACCUGCACGAAUGGCAUAAUGAUGGCGGCGCUGUCUCCAGCAGAGGCUCAGUGAAAUCGAAUUCGCCGUGAAGAUGCGGUGUACCCGCGGCUAGACGGAAAGACCCCGUGAACCUUUACUGCAGCUUGACAUUGAACUUUGAUCUUACUUGUGUAGGAUAGGUGGGAGGCUUUGAAGUAGUGACGCCAGUUACUAUGGAGCCAUCCUUGAAAUACCACCCUGGUAAUAUUGAGGUUCUAACUCCGUCCCGUUAUCCGGGACGAGGACCAUGUCUGGUGGGUAGUUUGACUGGGGCGGUCUCCUCCUAAAGAGUAACGGAGGAGUACGAAGGUGCGCUCAGCGUGGUCGGAAAUCACGCGUAGAGUAUAAAGGCAAAAGCGCGCUUAACUGCGAGACCAACAAGUCGAGCAGGUACGAAAGUAGGUCUUAGUGAUCCGGUGGUUCUGUAUGGAAGGGCCAUCGCUCAACGGAUAAAAGGUACUCUGGGGAUAACAGGCUGAUACCGCCCAAGAGUUCAUAUCGACGGCGGUGUUUGGCACCUCGAUGUCGGCUCAUCUCAUCCUGGGGCUGAAGCAGGUCCCAAGGGUAUGGCUGUUCGCCAUUUAAAGAGGUACGCGAGCUGGGUUUAGAACGUCGUGAGACAGUUCGGUCCCUAUCUACCGUGGGCGCUGGAAAUUUGAGAGGAUCUGCUCCUAGUACGAGAGGACCAGAGUGGACGAACCUCUGGUGUACCGGUUGUGACGCCAGUCGCAUCGCCGGGUAGCUAUGUUCGGAAGGGAUAACCGCUGAAAGCAUCUAAGCGGGAAGCCUACCUCAAGAUUAGAUUUCCCUAGGAAUUUAUUUCCUCUAAAGAUCCGUUCGAGACUAGGACGUUGAUAGGUUGGAUGUGGAAGCAUAGUGAUAUGUGUAGCUGACCAAUACUAAUUGAUCGUGAGGCUUGACUAU
This 2991-nucleotide ribosomal RNA is filed under the name Acinetobacter rudis. RNAcentral describes it as "23S ribosomal RNA". It matches the Rfam family "Bacterial large subunit ribosomal RNA". Lineage: Bacteria; Pseudomonadati; Pseudomonadota; Gammaproteobacteria; Moraxellales; Moraxellaceae. The record is from RNAcentral.